RNAcentral lists this ribosomal RNA (453 nucleotides) under uncultured bacterium. RNAcentral's name for it is "partial 16S ribosomal RNA". It matches the Rfam family "Bacterial small subunit ribosomal RNA", at positions 28 to 507 of the family's 1533-position model. The record is from RNAcentral.
GAUGAACGCUGACAGAAUGCUUAACACAUGCAAGUCUACUUGAACUUCGGUUUGGGUGGCGGACGGGUGAGUAACGCGUAAAGAACUUGCCUCACAGUUAGGGACAACAUUUGGAAACGAAUGCUAAUACCUGAUAUUAUGAUUUUAGGGCAUCCUAGGAUUAUGAAAGCUAUAUGUGCUGUGAGAGAGCUUUGCGUCCAUUAGCUAGUUGGAGAGGUAACGGCUCACCAAGGCGAUGAUGGGUAGCCGGCCUGAGAGGGUGAACGGCCACAAGGGGACUGAGACACGGCCCUUACUCCUACGGGAGGCAGCAGUGGGGAAUAUUGGACAAUGGACCAAAAGUCUGAUCCAGCAAUUCUGUGUGCACGAUGACGUUUUUCGGAAUGUAAAGUGCUUUCAGUUGGGAAGAAAAAAAUGACGGUACCAACAGAAGAAGUGACGGCUAAAUACGUG